RNAcentral lists this ribosomal RNA (366 nucleotides) under uncultured eukaryote. RNAcentral's name for it is "partial 18S ribosomal RNA". It matches the Rfam family "Eukaryotic small subunit ribosomal RNA", at positions 592 to 976 of the family's 1831-position model. The record is from RNAcentral.
CAAUAGCGUAUAUUAACGUUGUUGCAGUUAAAAAGCUCGUAGUUGGAUUUCUGGAGGGAGCGUCGGCCCGUAUUUACGAGUGCGUGACGUCUCUGUCCAUCCUUGCGGGAAGGCACGGCAUUGAUUUGUUGUGUCGGAUCGCAUCAUUUACUGUGAAAAAAUUAGAGUGUUCAAAGCAGGCUUUCGCUUGAAUACAUUAGCAUGGAAUAAUAAGAUAGGACUUUGGUGCUAUUUUGUUGGUUGAGCCUAAAGUAAUGAUUAAUAGGGAUAGUUGGGGGCACCUGUAUUGCGUUGUCAGAGGUGAAAUUCUUGGAUUUACGAAAGACAAACAGCUGCGAAANCGNNNGCCAAGGAUGUUUUCAUNAG